UACGGAGGGGGCUAGCGUUGUUCGGAAUUACUGGGCGUAAAGCGCGCGUAGGCGGACCUGCAAGUCGGGGGUGAAAGCCCGAGGCUCAACCUCGGAACUGCCUUCGAUACUGUCGUGACUCGAGUCCGGUAGGGGAGUGUGGAAUUCCCGGUGUAGCGGUGAAAUGCGCAGAGAUCGGGAGGAACACCCGUAGCGAAGGCGGCACUCUGGGCCGGUACUGACGCUGAGGAGCGAAAGCGUGGGGAGCGAACAGG
This 254-nucleotide ribosomal RNA is filed under the name uncultured bacterium. Its description in RNAcentral is "partial 16S ribosomal RNA". It matches the Rfam family "Bacterial small subunit ribosomal RNA", at positions 524 to 776 of the family's 1533-position model. The record is from RNAcentral.